GAAGUGGCAGCCAUGCGGAAAUGGGAGCCUUAAGUUGGGUGGGUGCACUGCUGCCACCUGUCAAGACAUCUCUGCUGUUUUUAUGAACGCAUGAGCUACCUGGCAGUUACGGGCCCGCCAAAGAUGGCGGCAUAGUAAAGCGAGGCACCCUCGUGCAUUGUAGACAUUCCUUCCUUACCUUCUUUAACUUGCGCUUCUGCUCCAGAUAUUUACCCAUGAGGAUACGACGUCGUAGCAGCAGAUCAAGGAAACAAAAGGGAGAAUUAAAACCAUGUUACUGAGAAAUCUCUAGGCUUAAUUCGACCACCAGUGCAAACUAACAGAUGGUUCAUCUUUCUGUUUUUUUUUUUUAUCAGGAAUAAAAUUCAAUGAACUCGGAUCAGCUAGUCUUGCUUUAUUUUAUUUUAUUUAGAAAAUACCAUUUGAAGAUGUCAUUCUUGGGAUUGAUGUGAAUCUUCUUUUUUAAGAUUUACCUUGUCAAGGUAAAGGCUGAUUGCAAGGAAUAAAACCCCUUCCUUUGCAACUCCAUGAUCCGUGGAAAUGAACGGCAGGGCACCACAGCCAUCUGUUAGCUAACGUGGGAAGUUGUGAGACAGCCAGACAAAAUAAGCCUGCCGUACAGGAAUAUGGAAAUAUUGCACGGACACGAACUAGAAAUAAAAAAACAAAUUAAAGAGAAAAAUGUGAACGAUCACGUGACGCCGACCUCGUUUGCGGUCAAAGGGAUGUACACGUGGUUGGUAUCACAGCUAAUAUAGCUGUUUCCUCACUGACACUCCAUGAAUCUAGACGACGACAACAACAAAAUCUUCAUGAU
This is a long non-coding RNA of Populus euphratica (Euphrates poplar), 817 nucleotides long. RefSeq lists it as uncharacterized. The transcript is spliced from 2 exons. NCBI's taxonomy places the organism in Eukaryota, Viridiplantae, Streptophyta, Magnoliopsida, Malpighiales, Salicaceae. The record is from RefSeq and is a predicted model, not a curated record.